CGCGGUGUCUCGGAGUCGACUCGUGCAAUGCGGGAGUCGACUCGAAUCUCAGAGUCCAAAAACUGCCCUCUGACUUUUUCUUUGUGUACCGCUGAGAGUCAACUCUCGCUUUCUUUGGAGUCGACCUGCCAAUCCUUGGAGUCGAGUCGCGUUCCACAGGAGUCGACUCGAAUCUCAGGGUCGAAAACCGCUCUCUGACUUUUCUGCCUGUAACUCCUUGGAGUCGACUCAUACUUCUCCGGAGUCGACUCGGUAAACAUCGGAGUCGACUCGCGCACUUCAGGAGUCGACUCGCUGACAGGUUUUAAGUUGAUUCCUUCUGUCUGUCUGUCUGUUCUCAGUCGGAGUCGGCUCAUAAUGAUCCGGAGUCGACUCGAGCCCGUGCCAGUGAUCCUGAUACGCUUGGAGUCGACUCGUAAUAUCCUGGAGUCGACUCGAGUCUCAGACUUUGGUUCAAACUGACUUCUUAACUUAUCCAAAAUAUCUUGAACCAAGUCUAGAGACACUUAGACAAGAUUUUCACUGAAACACUCAAUUGAAUUCAUUAGUAGACAAAAGAUAUACUCAAAUGCUUUGAGCUCAUCAAAAUCAAAUAGGGUUUUAAUCAAUCACUCCACAUCCUCUUUUUGUUUAACAUAGUUAUCACAAGAUGUGCUCCCCCUGUGUCAUAUGCAUGGAUAAGUUGUGUCGAAUUUGAAUACUUAAGGUAUGUUAUGAGAUUUUUAUGGCACAUCACAAGAAACACAAACACAGUCACAGAAUCACAUACACAGUAGCACAUACACAAGGUUUCAAAAGAAAUUGUAUUCAUGUAUCAUUGUAAACCUUUGAAGUCAGUACAU
RNAcentral lists this long non-coding RNA (842 nucleotides) under Phoenix dactylifera (date palm). RNAcentral describes it as "long non-coding RNA (PDAC_LNC004026)". Lineage: Eukaryota; Viridiplantae; Streptophyta; Magnoliopsida; Arecales; Arecaceae. The record is from RNAcentral.